UGUGCCUACGGGGCGCAGCAGUGGGGAAUAUUGCACAAUGGGCGAAAGCCUGAUGCAGCAACGCCGCGUGAAGGAAGAAGGGUUUCGGCUCGUAAACUUCUAUUAACAGGGACGAAAGAAAUGACGGUACCUGAAUAAGAAGCCCCGGCUAACUACGUGCCAGCAGCCGAGGGAAUACGUAGGGGGCAAGCGUUAUCCGGAAUUACUGGGUGGAAAGGGGGAGUAGGCGGCAUGGUAAG
Molecule: ribosomal RNA, 239 nt
Filed under: uncultured bacterium
Lineage: Bacteria
Description: partial 16S ribosomal RNA
Rfam family: Bacterial small subunit ribosomal RNA
Source: RNAcentral